Molecule: ribosomal RNA, 1557 nt
Filed under: Salmonella enterica
Lineage: Bacteria; Pseudomonadati; Pseudomonadota; Gammaproteobacteria; Enterobacterales; Enterobacteriaceae
Also listed under: 2 other names
Description: partial 23S ribosomal RNA
Rfam family: Bacterial large subunit ribosomal RNA
Source: RNAcentral
CGUGAGGCAUGCUGGAGGUAUCAGAAGUGCGAAUGCUGACAUAAGUAACGAUAAAGCGGGUGAAAAGCCCGCUCGCCGGAAGACCAAGGGUUCCUGUCCAACGUUAAUCGGGGCAGGGUGAGUCGACCCCUAAGGCGAGGCCGAAAGGCGUAGUCGAUGGGAAACGGGUUAAUAUUCCCGUACUUGGUGUUACUGCGAAGGGGGGACGGAGAAGGCUAUGUUGGCCGGGCGACGGUUGUCCCGGUUUAAGCGUGUAGGUGUGUGUUCCAGGUAAAUCCGGUUCACUUUAACACUGAGGCGUGACGACGAGGCACUACGGUGCUGAAGCAACAAAUGCCCUGCUUCCAGGAAAAGCCUCUAAGCAUCAGGUAACAUCAAAUCGUACCCCAAACCGACACAGGUGGUCAGGUAGAGAAUACCAAGGCGCUUGAGAGAACUCGGGUGAAGGAACUAGGCAAAAUGGUGCCGUAACUUCGGGAGAAGGCACGCUGACACGUAGGUGAAGUGAUUUACUCAUGGAGCUGAAGUCAGUCGAAGAUACCAGCUGGCUGCAACUGUUUAUUAAAAACACAGCACUGUGCAAACACGAAAGUGGACGUAUACGGUGUGACGCCUGCCCGGUGCCGGAAGGUUAAUUGAUGGGGUCAGCGCAAGCGAAGCUCCUGAUCGAAGCCCCGGUAAACGGCGGCCGUAACUAUAACGGUCCUAAGGUAGCGAAAUUCCUUGUCGGGUAAGUUCCGACCUGCACGAAUGGCGUAAUGAUGGCCAGGCUGUCUCCACCCGAGACUCAGUGAAAUUGAACUCGCUGUGAAGAUGCAGUGUACCCGCGGCAAGACGGAAAGACCCCGUGAACCUUUACUAUAGCUUGACACUGAACAUUGAGCCUUGAUGUGUAGGAUAGGUGGGAGGCUUUGAAGUGUGGACGCCAGUCUGCAUGGAGCCGACCUUGAAAUACCACCCUUUAAUGUUUGAUGUUCUAACGUGGACCCGUUACCCGGGUUGCGGACAGUGUCUGGUGGGUAGUUUGACUGGGGCGGUCUCCUCCUAAAGAGUAACGGAGGAGCACGAAGGUUGGCUAAUCCUGGUCGGACAUCAGGAGGUUAGUGCAAUGGCAUAAGCCAGCUUGACUGCGAGCGUGACGGCGCGAGCAGGUGCGAAAGCAGGUCAUAGUGAUCCGGUGGUUCUGAAUGGAAGGGCCAUCGCUCAACGGAUAAAAGGUACUCCGGGGAUAACAGGCUGAUACCGCCCAAGAGUUCAUAUCGACGGCGGUGUUUGGCACCUCGAUGUCGGCUCAUCACAUCCUGGGGCUGAAGUAGGUCCCAAGGGUAUGGCUGUUCGCCAUUUAAAGUGGUACGCGAGCUGGGUUUAGAACGUCGUGAGACAGUUCGGUCCCUAUCUGCCGUGGGCGCUGGAGAACUGAGGGGGGCUGCUCCUAGUACGAGAGGACCGGAGUGGACGCAUCACUGGUGUUCGGGUUGUCAUGCCAAUGGCACUGCCCGGUAGCUAAAUGCGGAAGAGAUAAGUGCUGAAAGCAUCUAAGCACGAAACUUGCCCCGA